AAUCUCAACUUGGUGAGCUGUUCACCAACUUCAGAAAGAUAGAACGGUAACCGAAGGCAUUUUAGCGGGUAUUCAUACAAUCAGUUCAUAGCAGAUGCCUGGAGAAAUAAUCUGUCACUCGCCAGGCCUGUACUUGAUGCUAAUAUAUAAGCACACACGAGUUUCGGCUGUUUGAUCAAUAUGGGCACCAAUUUUUGGCGGCAGCAGUCUUAUAUCCUCAAGCCUUGUUGCUUGCUGCGGUGCUCGUGUAUCCUCAAGCCUCAUCGCUCCCAAG
This 274-nucleotide long non-coding RNA is filed under the name Eucalyptus grandis. RNAcentral describes it as "long non-coding RNA (EGRA_LNC007048)". Lineage: Eukaryota; Viridiplantae; Streptophyta; Magnoliopsida; Myrtales; Myrtaceae. The record is from RNAcentral.